RNAcentral lists this long non-coding RNA (626 nucleotides) under Homo sapiens (human). Its description in RNAcentral is "long non-coding RNA NONHSAT080412.2". The record is from RNAcentral. Lineage: Eukaryota; Metazoa; Chordata; Mammalia; Primates; Hominidae.
CAGAAGUGCAGCUGGGGGCCAUUUUGUCAAGAAGUGCUUAUUUGGAAAAACAAAACAAAACAAAAAAUGAAAAAAAAAAAAAAAAUCUAUACAGGUGCAUGCCAGUCCCCCGGUAAUGAAAUGUAACAAAGGAAGCACUUAAGUUCAGUGAGGGAAAUACAGCUUUAAAUUACAGAUUGUACCCAGAGCACUUUAUAAACGGUAAUGUGUGAUAAUGUAUUAUCCUUACUUCUGUGAAAUUGUGGACUGCAACUUCUGCCGGGGCCAGUUAAAGGGCCAGGAGAUGGAGAGGGUUGCGUGAAUGCCAUUCAAGAAAAGGGCAACAGAGGCUAAGGGGUUAAACUCCCCAGAAAACCAAUUUAUGCAAAGGGCUGGAUCCUGACCGGCAUUCUGCACUAAAGAUCUGAAUUACAAAUUUAGAGAAUUUGCUGCUCGACAACGAAUGCAGGAAGGACCUCACUGGCUGCUGGGAACAACUGCCCUUUUGAAUGAAUUCUUUUAUGGUUACCAGUCAAAAAGUCACCGUCAGCUGGAACUGGAAGGGAGGUGUGUGUGUGUGUGUGUGUGUGCGCGUGUGUGUGUGUACGCGCAGUGGCAGCCAUUUCAGCUCAAUAGCUCCAUUCCUG